UUUUUCUCUCUUCCUGUCAUUAUCUGGUAUAGGUCCAGCUUGACUCGGAGCCAACAUAUAGCUACGAAACUGUACGGACAAUUCGUUUCUCUGCAUCUUAGUAUUCUUCCAUAGUGAUUUGUUUCUACAUGGUGUCUUCUGUGCUGUUCUACUAUCCUGAAUAUGUACGUGCACUCCGAUGCAGGCGUCGGGGUUUUAUCUGCAUUGUGGUAUGAUUCAUUUGCUACAAGAGCGUUCCAUGUUGUACCCACUCCAGUCUGUCUUUUGUCUUCCCUGUAUAUAUUAUAGAGAGAAAAAAAGACUGUUACAGAUUUAUACAGAGGACCCAAGAUGCAGAAAGCUGAAGAUAUGAUUCGGCAAGUCCACGGUGUCAGGCAUUCAGGCCUUCGUAGAGGAUUCUGGUGAGCAUGAAGCCGUCGGUCCCUUCUUAGAUGGCAACGGGCCUCGAUUCCCAAUUCACCAUGGGAAAUUCUUUCAUUAGAGACAGUGAAGUUUCGUUUCCCACGAGGAUAUAAAUGUGUAAACGAGGACGGAAAUCAUUUUCUAUCUCUGUUCUCUACGGAGACACGUUAAACAUGUACGUGGUGGUGUUUUCGUGUAAUAGUUAACGAUAAAAAUAAAUAAUUAUCAUGUCAAUAGACCA
This 643-nucleotide long non-coding RNA is filed under the name Zea mays. Its description in RNAcentral is "long non-coding RNA (ZMAY_LNC001735)". The record is from RNAcentral. Lineage: Eukaryota; Viridiplantae; Streptophyta; Magnoliopsida; Poales; Poaceae.